AACGAACGCUGGCGGCAUGCCUAACACAUGCAAGUCGAACGCCCUGGUUCGCCAGGGAGUGGCGCACGGGUGAGUAACGCGUGGGAACCUGCCCGGCAGUACGGGACAACCGCGGGAAACUGCGGCUAAUACCGUAUACGGCCUGAGGGCGAAAGAAUUUCGCUGUCGGAGGGGCCCGCGUCGGAUUAGGUAGUUGGUGGGGUAACGGCCUACCAAGCCUGCGAUCCGUAGCUGGUCUGAGAGGAUGAUCAGCCACACUGGGACUGAGACACGGCCCAGACUCCUACGGGAGGCAGCAGUGGGGAAUAUUGGACAAUGGGCGCAAGCCUGAUCCAGCAAUGCCGCGUGAGUGAUGAAGGCCUUAGGGUUGUAAAGCUCUUUCGCCCGCGACGAUGAUGACGGUAGCGGGAGAAGAAGCCCCGGCUAACUCCGUGCCAGCAGCCGCGGUAAUACGGAGGGGGCUAGCGUUGUUCGGAAUUACUGGGCGUAAAGGGCGCGCA
RNAcentral lists this ribosomal RNA (500 nucleotides) under uncultured bacterium. RNAcentral's name for it is "bacterial SSU rRNA". It matches the Rfam family "Bacterial small subunit ribosomal RNA", at positions 28 to 573 of the family's 1533-position model. The record is from RNAcentral.